Molecule: transfer RNA, 71 nt
Filed under: Chlorocebus sabaeus (green monkey)
Lineage: Eukaryota; Metazoa; Chordata; Mammalia; Primates; Cercopithecidae
Rfam family: tRNA
About the family: Transfer RNA (tRNA) molecules are approximately 80 nucleotides in length. Their secondary structure includes four short double-helical elements and three loops (D, anti-codon, and T loops).
Source: Rfam by way of RNAcentral
ACAGUGGUGGUUCAGCGGUAGAAUUCUCGCCUUCCACAGAGAAGGCCCGGGUUCAGUUCCCAGCCAAUGUA